ACGCGGGGCGGCUGCAUGCUCUGGGCUCCCUGCGUUGCUAGAACGCUGUGGAUGACGCAGGGAAGGAGGCUGGCCCCGCUAUCAGGGAGAUUAUGUCCUAGUGGGGUCCCCACAGGCCAUUAACUGUUGGAUAUGACAAGAAUGACCCAAUUCGUAUGAUCAGCUUUCAGAAUGGAUGAAGAUCUUUCACGGAGGGUGACUUCAAUUUAUCUCCAGCCUCAUCUGAUGUCUCUAUGUCCCACGCAUUGCUAUCUGCACACACUAAGUUCUUGCUUCCUAGCCUUUGCUUGUUAUCUCCCUCUUCUGGAUUUUUUUUCCUAAAUACUUUUUCUCCUGCCUAAUCCUGAAUUAACUUAAUAACAUUCCAUUCAAACUUCAUCUUCUCUGAAAGCCUUUCCUGAUUCCAGCCCCCUCCCCACCCCCCACUAUGCUCCCUUUGCUCCCUAUUGGUCGCUAGCUUUAUCCCUAACUUUGCAUUUGUCACCCUUUGAUUGCCAGUUUGUAGUUUUCCUUAAACACUGCGAGGUCUUUAAUGGCAGGAAGUGGGUCCUCUUUAUCUUUGUUUAUCCAAGACCCUAAUAGGGUCUGGCAUCCAAUAAACGUCAUUGAUUGAUAAA
Long non-coding RNA from Nomascus leucogenys (northern white-cheeked gibbon), 617 nucleotides. RefSeq lists it as uncharacterized. The record is from RefSeq and is a predicted model, not a curated record. Lineage: Eukaryota; Metazoa; Chordata; Mammalia; Primates; Hylobatidae. The transcript has 2 exons.